RNAcentral lists this ribosomal RNA (446 nucleotides) under uncultured organism. RNAcentral describes it as "partial 16S ribosomal RNA". It matches the Rfam family "Bacterial small subunit ribosomal RNA", at positions 334 to 797 of the family's 1533-position model. The record is from RNAcentral.
CACUCCUGCGGGAGGCAGCAGUGGGGAAUAUUGGACAAUGGGCGCAAGCCUGAUCCAGCCAUGCCGCGUGAGUGAUGAAGGCCCUAGGGUUGUAAAGCUCUUUCACCGGUGAAGAUAAUGACGGUAACCGGAGAAGAAGCCCCGGCUAACUUCGUGCCAGCAGCCGCGGUAAUACGAAGGGGGCUAGCGUUGUUCGGAUUUACUGGGCGUAAAGCGCACGUAGGCGGACUAUUAAGUCAGGGGUGAAAUCCCUGGGCUCAACCCCGGAACUGCCUUUGAUACUGGUAGUCUUGAGUUCGAGAGAGGUGAGUGGAAUUCCGAGUGUAGAGGUGAAAUUCGUAGAUAUUCGGAGGAACACCAGUGGCGAAGGCGGCUCACUGGCUCGAUACUGACGCUGAGGUGCGAAAGCGUGGGGAGCAAACAGGAUUAGAAACCCUAGUAGUCCC